This 253-nucleotide ribosomal RNA is filed under the name uncultured bacterium. RNAcentral's name for it is "partial 16S ribosomal RNA". It matches the Rfam family "Bacterial small subunit ribosomal RNA", at positions 524 to 776 of the family's 1533-position model. The record is from RNAcentral.
UACGUAGGGCGCAAGCGUUGUCCGGAAUUAUUGGGCGUAAAGAGCUCGUAGGUGGCUUGUCGCGUCUGCCGUGAAAGCCCAUGGCUUAACUGUGGGUCUGCGGUGGAUACGGGCAGGCUGGAGGCUGGUAGGGGCAAGCGGAAUUCCUGGUGUAGCGGUGAAAUGCGCAGAUAUCAGGAGGAACACCGGUGGCGAAGGCGGCUUGCUGGGCCAGUUCUGACGCUGAGGAGCGAAAGCGUGGGGGGCGAACAGG